AUGCAUGUCUAAGUACAGCUCGGUGGAGCAAUCUACCGGGCGAAACCGCGGACGGCUCAUUAAAUCAGUCGUGGUCUAAAUGGGCUAAAGUUUCCUUUUGGAUAACUGUGGAAAAUCCAGAGCUAAUACAUGCAUUUUACGAGUCCUGAGCCAAAGCCCUUUGUUCGUUCGCGGAGACUGGGUUACUAACUCGGGAUGCUUUUAUUAGACCGAGGCGCGCGCAUACUCGGUUUAGCCUUACGUGGAUUCGCGUUCGCGUUUGGCGGCCGUUUGUGUGUCGUUGUGUAAGCGCUAAAUGGUGAACCCUGGAUAACACUUGAUGAGCGUGCCUAUUCGGCACGCCGCCUACUUACGAGUGACUGCCCUAUCAGCUAGUAACGUAUGUUAUACGCGAACGCUGGCGGUAACGGGUAACGGGGAAUCAGAGUUCGAUUCCGGAGAGGCAGCCUGAGAAACGGCUACCACG
RNAcentral lists this ribosomal RNA (466 nucleotides) under Simorhynchotus sp. USNM IZ 1449362. Its description in RNAcentral is "partial small subunit ribosomal RNA". It matches the Rfam family "Eukaryotic small subunit ribosomal RNA", at positions 51 to 414 of the family's 1831-position model. The record is from RNAcentral. Lineage: Eukaryota; Metazoa; Arthropoda; Malacostraca; Amphipoda; Lycaeidae. RNAcentral also lists the same sequence under 2 other names.